This 31-nucleotide non-coding RNA is filed under the name Rattus norvegicus (Norway rat). The record is from RNAcentral. Lineage: Eukaryota; Metazoa; Chordata; Mammalia; Rodentia; Muridae.
UAAAAGACUGAACACAGAGACAGUUAUUUUA